This 558-nucleotide ribosomal RNA is filed under the name uncultured Glomus. Its description in RNAcentral is "SSU rRNA". It matches the Rfam family "Eukaryotic small subunit ribosomal RNA", at positions 546 to 1106 of the family's 1831-position model. Lineage: Eukaryota; Fungi; Glomeromycota; Glomeromycetes; Glomerales; Glomeraceae. The record is from RNAcentral.
AAUUGGAGGGCAAGUCUGGUGCCAGCAGCCGCGGUAAUUCCAGCUCCAAUAGCGUAUAUUAAAGUUGUUGCAGUUAAAAAGCUCGUAGUUGAAUUUCGGGGUCAGCAGGUCGGUCGUGCCUACGGUAUGCACUGGCCUUGCUGAUUCCUCCCUCUUGAUGAGCCGUAAUGCCAUUAAUUUGGUGUUGCGGGGAAUCAGGACUGUUACUUUGAAAAAAUUAGAGUGUUUAAAGCAGGCAAGCGCUUGAAUACAUUAGCAUGGAAUAAUGAAAUAGGACGUUCGAUCCUAUUUUGUUGGUUUCUAGGAUUGACGUAAUGAUUAAUAGGGAUAGUUGGGGGCAUUAGUAUUCAAUUGUCAGAGGUGAAAUUCUUGGAUUUAUUGAAGACUAACUACUGCGAAAGCAUUUGCCAAGGAUGUUUUCAUUAAUCAAGAACGAAAGUUAGGGGAUCGAAGACGAUCAGAUACCGUCGUAGUCUUAACCAUAAACUAUGCCGACUAGGGAUCGGAUGAUGUUAAUUUUUAAUGACUCAUUCGGCGCCUUACGGGAAACCAAAGUGU